RNAcentral lists this ribosomal RNA (788 nucleotides) under uncultured euryarchaeote. Its description in RNAcentral is "bacterial SSU rRNA". It matches the Rfam family "Archaeal small subunit ribosomal RNA", at positions 85 to 876 of the family's 1478-position model. The record is from RNAcentral. Lineage: Archaea; Methanobacteriati; Methanobacteriota.
ACGGCUCAGUAACACGUAGGUAACCUACCCUUCGGACGGGCUCAACCCCGGGAAACUGGGGCUAAUUCCCGAUAGGUACCCCCUUCUGGAAUGUGGGGAUAUCCAAAGCUCCGGCGCCGAAGGAUGGGCCUGCGGCCGAUUAGGUUGUUGGCGGGGUAACAGCCCACCAAGCCGACGAUCGGUACGGGCAGUGAGAGCUGUAGCCCGGAGAUGGGGACUGAGACAAGGCCCCAGGCCCUACGGGGCGCAGCAGGCGCGAAACCUUCACAAUGCACGAAAGUGUGAUGAGGGUACUCCGAGUGCGCAUACAUUGUAUGUGCUUUUCUGCAGCGUAAAUAGUUGCAGGAAUAAGGGCUGGGCAAGACCGGUGCCAGCCGCCGCGGUAACACCGGCAGCCCUAGUGGUGGCCGCUUUUAUUGGGCCUAAAGCGUCCGUAGCCGGACAGGCGAGUCUUUGGGUAAAUCCUACGUCUUAAGCGUGGGAAUUCUAAAGAUACUACCUGUCUUGAGGCCGGGAGAGGCUGGAGGUACUCCUGGGGUAGGGGUAAAAUCCUAUAAUCCUGGGGGGACCACCGAUGGCGAAGGCAUCCAGCUGGAACGGGCCUGACGGUGAGGGACGAAACCCAGGGGAGCGAGCCGGAUUAGAUACCCGGGUAGUCCUGGGCGUAAAUGAUGUGGGCUUGGUGUGAGCGCAUCGACGAGGUGCGCUUGUGCCGUAGGGAAGCCGUUAAGCCCACCGCCUGGGGAGUACGGUCGCAAGGCGGAAACUUAAAGGAAUUGGCGGGGGAG